Molecule: ribosomal RNA, 318 nt
Filed under: Triticum aestivum (bread wheat)
Lineage: Eukaryota; Viridiplantae; Streptophyta; Magnoliopsida; Poales; Poaceae
Description: partial small subunit ribosomal RNA
Source: RNAcentral
AUGCAAUAUGACAUAAUUUUGACAUAUUAUGCAUGCAAAACGGAUCUAUAUGCAUGCAAAUCAAUAUCAUGGCGUCGAGGAACGCACUUUCUUUGUAAGUUUAAUACGUCUUUUUUCCCUUCUUUCUUCGGAAGAGGUUAUAUGUUGGCAAGAGCCUCACUCUCUCACCUUGUUCCCGCUGGAUGCACACACAUGCGCAGGCAAGCUGCUCCAGCGAAUGGACAGAAUCAAAAACAGAGGAGGAGCAGAGCAGCACACACAUGUUUGUUUUACAGGCAACGAAUGGCUUCCGGCUCUGCUCUUUUGAUGUCCUGUUAG